RNAcentral lists this ribosomal RNA (490 nucleotides) under uncultured bacterium. RNAcentral describes it as "partial 16S ribosomal RNA". It matches the Rfam family "Bacterial small subunit ribosomal RNA", at positions 29 to 507 of the family's 1533-position model. The record is from RNAcentral.
AAUGAACGCUGGCGGCAUGCCUUACACAUGCAAGUCGAACGGAAGCAUGACCUGCUUUGCUCGGUGGCUGUCGAGUGGCGAGCGUGAGAGUCAUGCAUCGGACCGUGCCUUAUAGCUGGGGUUACCUUGGGAAAAGUUAGCCAAUUCCCGCAAAUAUACUGAGGCGGAAAGUACGGUAGCUACAGACGGUUCGCUUGACACGCAGACGUUGUCGGAUUAGCUAGUUGGUGAGGUAAAGGCUUACCAAGGCAACGAUCCGUAGCGGGUCUGAGAGGUUGAUCCGCCACACUGGAACUGAGACACGGCCCAGACUCCUACGGGAGGCAGCAGUAGGGAAUCUUCGACAAUGGGCGCAAGCCUGAUCCAGCAAUGCCGCGUGAGUGAAGAAGGUCUUCGGGUUGUAAAGCUCUUUCGGUUGGGAAGAAAUAGCACUCUCUAAUACAGGGUGUUGAUGACGGUACCAGCAUAAGAAGCACCGGCUAACUACGUG